GACGAAGGUGGCGAGCGUUGUUCGGAAUCACUGGGCAUAAAGCGCACGUAGGCGGUGCCGUAAGUCGGAUGUGAAAUCCCUCGGCCUAACCGAGGAACUGCGUCCGAUACUGCGGUGCUUGAGGAUCAGAGGGGUGCAUGGAAUUUCCGGUGGAGCGGUGAAAUGCGUUGAUAUCGGAAGGAACUCCGGCGGCGAAGGCGGCAUCCUGGACCAACACUGACACUGAGGAGCGAAAGCCAGGGGAGCAAACGGG
Molecule: ribosomal RNA, 253 nt
Filed under: uncultured bacterium
Lineage: Bacteria
Description: partial 16S ribosomal RNA
Rfam family: Bacterial small subunit ribosomal RNA
Source: RNAcentral